RNAcentral lists this long non-coding RNA (456 nucleotides) under Mustela putorius furo (domestic ferret). RNAcentral describes it as "lncRNA (ENSMPUG00000029143.1)". The record is from RNAcentral. Lineage: Eukaryota; Metazoa; Chordata; Mammalia; Carnivora; Mustelidae.
UGCUCUUAAAGGAAUAUCACACAAAACUUCUACUCUCAACUCACCGGCCAAGACCUCGUCACAUGUCUACAUCCAGCUGGAAGGUACCUUUACUGUUGAAGAGCUCCUGCUGCCUGUGGCUGCAUCACAGGAUGCACAGGAGAAGGCUCAGGGGAGGAGGAGUUUCUUCUAGACCAGACACAGUGGUCACCCAGGCCAAUGGCCUCAUAAUAACCCUGUCCAGCUUCAAGCAGAACCUCCUCUCCUGGCAUGAGUUUCUUCAAUAAGUUCUCCUCCCUUUGCCACAUUGACUGUCUGCUUCAAACAUACACUGGCCUGAAGAAGAAAUCUUCACACCAAAGUCCAUGCUUAAGACCUUGGCUCAUGAGGAAGAUUAAAAAAACAAGCUGCCCUACUUGCAAAAAUGUCAUGCUGUCUCUUUGUUUACCUUCUGCAUGGAAAUAACAGAGAGAGCCU